AACUGCAAGCAUUUCAGCAUGGAAGGGCUUAGGAGAGGCUUAGGAAGAACAGUCAAGAUAGCAUGAGAGCAGGGUCGGGCCUGGUUAGUACUUGGACGGGAGACCACCUAGGAAUACCAGGUGCUGUAGGCG
This 132-nucleotide ribosomal RNA is filed under the name Pteropus vampyrus (large flying fox). The record is from RNAcentral. Lineage: Eukaryota; Metazoa; Chordata; Mammalia; Chiroptera; Pteropodidae.